UACGUAGGGUGCGAGCGUUAAUCGGAAUUACUGGGCGUAAAGCGUCCGUAGGCGGCUUGUUAAGUCUGAUGCGAAAGCCCUGGGCUUAACCUGGGAACGGCAUUGGAUACUGGCGAGCUAGAGUUCGGUAGAGGGUGGUGGAAUUCCCGGUGUAGCGGUGAAAUGCGUAGAGAUCGGGAGGAACACCGGUGGCGAAGGCGGCCACCUGGACCGAGACUGACGCUGAGGGACGAAAGCGUGGGGAGCAAACCGG
RNAcentral lists this ribosomal RNA (253 nucleotides) under uncultured bacterium. Its description in RNAcentral is "partial 16S ribosomal RNA". It matches the Rfam family "Bacterial small subunit ribosomal RNA", at positions 524 to 776 of the family's 1533-position model. The record is from RNAcentral.